AGCCGGGCUAGGCGGUUAGGGGAGUGGAAGGCUACCGAGAGGGCGUCAGGAGGGCGACCGCGACAGGUCACAGCGACAGAUCACGUGCCGUGGAUUCCCGCGCCGUAGAUUCCCGUGCCAUUCUUCUGCUGGCAAGGACGGCCAUGGCCAACUACUACGGGACUCGAUCCUCACUCGACUUGCAAGUACAGAUGCACAUGUCAAUGUUCCACCUAAAAAGCACAUCAUAAGGCAGCAACCUGGGCCUUGGCGGAUUGUGGGGCUCCUGGGCGCUUGGUAUGGGCAGUGUUGUUGCGGAAACGUUUGUUUUGCGCCAAGAGCUGGAGACUGAGUAUUCUUGUGGCGACGGUGAAAGAGUGCUGUCGUGCCCCGACUUGGUUUGUAUGUUACAACUACGUCCCAGUGGUGUACAGUGUGUACAUACGGCGUACUUAACUGACCCACUUGCACUGUCCAACUUCUGAGGUCCUUCUGAGGUCUUUCUGCUGACCAACUUCAAUGACUUCAAUGACUUCAAUGACUUCUGACUUCCGACUUCUGACUUCCGACUUCUGACUUCCGACUUCUGACUUCCGACUUCUGACUUCUGACUUCUACAGACGUACAUUGUUGACCCAAGCCGUGUCUCACAGUUGGGUUCGCUGAGGACGCUUAGAUCGCGCUGCUUAUUCUUGCGUCGACGCCCGUCAUUCUACAGAGAUAGACUCACGGUUCACGUGUUGUCGGCCACUUUCAAGGGGUAGCAACCUAAAGAAGGCGGAUUUUGCAGUUAUCCAGCAUGACCAGAAGCGAUUGCGUUCCCCAUUUGGCAGUCUUGGACGGAGGUGGAGCGGUGGCUUGGACCGUCAUGGCUACAACAUGUCAAAGCUCUCGCUAAACUCGACACGACCAACAAGGCCGUCAGUUAGACCAAGUCUAUGUCCAACAAGAAUGUCUCUACUCUGCGGACACGUGCCUGCAUACAUGGUUUUCUCCUUGUACGCGACGGAAAGGCGAUGGGCACGGCAGCGAUAUUAUGGCACGCGACUAAGACAUGUGGACGCCAGAUAGACAGGACCGAUAGGAGCCUGUGGUUGGCAACCGAGCGCCUCUGAAGAUGCUUUUCACUCCUGGUCCUGGCCGCCGUUGCUCAGAGCCCGGCUAAAUCCCUCAUCUCUCGCUCGCUUCUUUUGAGGUCUGGCUGUAUGAUUACCCACUCUCCAUUGUGUAAUUAUAGCUACAGACCGUGGAGAUAGCAGCCAUGGAGAUACCCCCGAGCCCGCGGAAGUUACAGUUGUGAUUGAAUGACCAAAAGGAGCAAAGAUAUAGAACGUUUGGGUUGUCUCUACCGCGCGGGUACAUCUCCCAUGCCUGUCCUGGUCACACACAAUCACAUGCUCAGCUAUUGGACAGAAAUGCUCGACAUUUCUGAAUGGAUGAACAUGGAACCUGUGGGCAUCGCUUGAAUCGCCAUAGCCGGGGCUUUGCAAUGAUAUUCUUUGCUUGCUAUCUCGACCCACACUCAACUACCGAUACCGCCCUCAACCACCCGUCUCCGCGGAUCGACAGGAAACGCGCCCCGGUGCACAUCCUCUGUAAAUCAGAGACAAUUCGCGUUCAAGACACGUGUUAGUAAGCGAUUGAGAUGGUGCACACCUCAAGGAGCACAAGCAUGGGGCCGCAUCAGAUCGUCCGUGGACUCAGAGCAAUCUUACUGGAGGAUCUACACGAGCAACGCGUUGACACAAGAGUUAUAGCAGAAGAGCUAUACAUUCAAUAACAACAUUGGCUCCAGACUCGGAAGGCCCUGGAGAAAAAAGAUUGUCCUCGGUAUGUUUCACUUUCCAAAAGAGGGCAAAUUCCAACCUAAGCUGGUAAUGUCUUACUCUCGACGUAGACGCAACAUUACAUCGGGCAUCUUUGGAUGAUUGCAGGUGCUUUGUGAGAUUUUCCGGUGUCUGAGGAGAGACUUCUCCAGACACUCCGUUGAUCCGUGACCAACUAACACUAACUAGAUUGUUGAGUAUUUGGAAAUGAUUAGUAGGCUUUGAGGGGAUAGUCCUUUUUCUGCCAAAUGUCACGUCUAAAGCUCCAAAAAAACCACAGUUGAUUCUAGGAGCUCGACGCGGUCAGUAUGAUACCAAAUAUGACAUAUUUCCAGCAUGAUUACCCGCCCAUCCACUCCACUUUCUCUUCUCCACGCCGACUGAACAGUAUCAAUUAAGUUUCGGGUAUCUCGGCAAGAACCCGUAUUCCAGAGCCGCAUGGAGUGGGUUUAUAAGCAGUGGAUUAGCACAGUCCUACGUCUCGUGGCAUAGGGGAUCUUAAAUACGGAUAUCAGCACCUACGCUUCUCUACCGCCUCCGUCAUGUUGUGUUGAAAGCUCAUUCCCGUUCGGGAUUACUGAUCCUGCAAAGUGUAGGAGAUGGCUACAAAUGACAAUUGAAGAGAUCCUGAGCUUCACAAGAAGGCAUGAGAGUCUCCCUUUUGUCUUUAAAUGUCCUAAUCAUGACUUCUUCGUGCUACAUUGACUGUACUGGGCCGGUCCCACGUUUACCAUCCUCUGUGCAGUGUCUGACGAGCAAUGUGAAGUACAAUUGUGAUUAUAACGGACGCCAGGACCAAGGAGAUCACUGAUAACUCUCCAUCUUGCAACCACUGCCUCCUUUUACUUGCAACACACAGUUGCACAGAACAAUGUAACGGUCAGUGUUGAACAAAAGCAAUUCUGAGACAUGUCUUGUCAACAGUGACGUGAAGGUGCGCCAGGAAGAGAUGCUAGUUAGUUACAAGUGCUAGCUCUUAAUAAUCAGAAUCAAUAAACUGUAUAACUCCUGG
Molecule: unclassified non-coding RNA, 2817 nt
Filed under: Yarrowia lipolytica
Lineage: Eukaryota; Fungi; Ascomycota; Dipodascomycetes; Dipodascales
Source: RNAcentral